CACCCGCACCCGCAACUGAAGUAUGAAGCGGAGGAGGAAAGGAAGAAGAAGACGCACCAUUGUUUGUA
This 68-nucleotide small RNA is filed under the name Arabidopsis thaliana (thale cress). Its description in RNAcentral is "ATSL023740". Lineage: Eukaryota; Viridiplantae; Streptophyta; Magnoliopsida; Brassicales; Brassicaceae. The record is from RNAcentral.